UACAGAGGGUGCGAGCGUUAAUCGGAGUGACUGGGCGUAAAGGGCGCGUAGGCGGUUAGAUUAGUCUGAUGUGAAAGCCCCGGGCUUAACCCGGGAUGUGCAUUGGAAACGGUCUAGCUAGAGUUUGAGAGAGGGAAGUGGAAUUUCCGGUGUAGCGGUGAAAUGCGUAGAGAUCGGAAAGAACACUCGUGGCGAAGGCGACUUUCUGGCUCAAAACUGACGCUGAGGCGCGAAAGCGUGGGGAGCAAACAGGAUUAGAUACCCUGGUAGUCCACGCUGUAAACGAUGAGAACUGGAGGUAUGUUGGCGUAAGCCGAUGUGUCUCUAAGCUAACGCACUAAGUUCUCCGCCUGGGGAGUACGGCCGCAAGGUUAAA
This 376-nucleotide ribosomal RNA is filed under the name uncultured bacterium. RNAcentral describes it as "bacterial SSU rRNA". It matches the Rfam family "Bacterial small subunit ribosomal RNA", at positions 524 to 898 of the family's 1533-position model. The record is from RNAcentral.